This 361-nucleotide ribosomal RNA is filed under the name Staphylococcus aureus. RNAcentral describes it as "partial 23S ribosomal RNA". It matches the Rfam family "Bacterial large subunit ribosomal RNA", at positions 1603 to 1965 of the family's 2925-position model. The record is from RNAcentral. Lineage: Bacteria; Bacillati; Bacillota; Bacilli; Caryophanales; Staphylococcaceae.
CACUGCCGAGAAAAGCCUCUAGAUAGAAAAUAGGUGCCCGUACCGCAAACCGACACAGGUAGUCAAGAUGAGAAUUCUAAGGUGAGCGAGCGAACUCUCGUUAAGGAACUCGGCAAAAUGACCCCGUAACUUCGGGAGAAGGGGUGCUCUUUAGGGUUAACGCCCAGAAGAGCCGCAGUGAAUAGGCCCAAGCGACUGUUUAUCAAAAACACAGGUCUCUGCUAAACCGUAAGGUGAUGUAUAGGGGCUGACGCCUGCCCGGUGCUGGAAGGUUAAGAGGAGUGGUUAGCUUCUGCGAAGCUACGAAUCGAAGCCCCAGUAAACGGCGGCCGUAACUAUAACGGUCCUAAGGUAGCGAAAU